ACGAACGCUGGCGGCAUGCCUAACACAUGCAAGUCGAACGAGACCUUCGGGUCUAGUGGCGCACGGGUGCGUAACGCGUGGGAACCUGCCCUUAGGUUCGGAAUAACUCCCCGAAAGGGGUGCUAAUACCGGAUAAUGUCUUCGGACCAAAGAUUUAUCGCCUUUGGAUGGGCCCGCGUUGGAUUAGCUAGUUGGUAGGGUAAAAGCCUACCAAGGCGACGAUCCAUAGCUGGGCUGAGAGGAUGAUCAGCCACACUGGGACUGAGACACGGCCCAGACUCCUACGGGAGGCAGCAGUGGGGAAUAUUGGACAAUGGGCGAAAGCCUGAUCCAGCAAUGCCGCGUGAGUGAUGAAGGCCUUAGGGUUGUAAAGCUCUUUUACCCGGGAUGAUAAUGACAGUACCGGGAGAAUAAGCUCCGGCUAACUCCGUG
This 432-nucleotide ribosomal RNA is filed under the name uncultured bacterium. Its description in RNAcentral is "partial 16S ribosomal RNA". It matches the Rfam family "Bacterial small subunit ribosomal RNA", at positions 29 to 507 of the family's 1533-position model. The record is from RNAcentral.